RNAcentral lists this ribosomal RNA (289 nucleotides) under uncultured bacterium. RNAcentral's name for it is "partial 16S ribosomal RNA". It matches the Rfam family "Bacterial small subunit ribosomal RNA", at positions 773 to 1060 of the family's 1533-position model. The record is from RNAcentral.
GUGGAUUAGAUACCCUGGUAGUCCACGCCGUAAACGAUGAGUGCUAGGUGUUCGGGGUUUCGAUACCCUGGGUGCCGAAGUUCACGCAUUAAGCACUCCGCCUGGGGAGUACGGUCGCAAGACUGAAACUCAAAGGAAUUGACGGGGACCCGCACAAGCAGUGGAGUAUGUGGUUUAAUUCGAAGCAACGCGAAGAACCUUACCAAGUCUUGACAUCCUUCUGACCGGACUAGAGAUAGUCUUUCCCUUCGGGGCAGAAGUGACAGGUGGUGCACGGCUGUCGUCAGCU